Molecule: ribosomal RNA, 468 nt
Filed under: uncultured bacterium
Lineage: Bacteria
Description: partial 16S ribosomal RNA
Rfam family: Bacterial small subunit ribosomal RNA
Source: RNAcentral
GACGAACGCUGGCGGCGUGCUUAACACAUGCAAGUCGAACGGAAAGGCCCUGCUUUUGUGGGGUGCUCGAGUGGCGAACGGGUGAGUAACACGUGAGUAACCUGCCCUUGACUUUGGGAUAACUUCAGGAAACUGGGGCUAAUACCGGAUAGGAGCUCCUGCUGCAUGGUGGGGGUUGGAAAGUUUCGGCGGUUGGGGAUGGACUCGCGGCUUAUCAGCUUGUUGGUGGGGUAGUGGCUUACCAAGGCUUUGACGGGUAGGCGGCCUGAGAGGGUGACCGGCCACAUUAGGACUGAGAUACGGACCAGACUCCUACGGGAGGCAGCAGUGGAGAGUAUUGCGCAGUGGGCGGAAGCCUGAUACGACAGCGCCGGGUGCGGGAUGACGGGCUUCGGGUUGUAAACCGCUUUCGCAUGUAACGAGGCGUGAGUGACGGUAAUGGGUAAAGAAGCACCGGCUAACUACGUG